GCCGGCAUAGCUCAGCGGUCAGUAGCGGCUGCUUUGUAAGCAGCGGGUCCUCCGUUCGAAUCGGAGUGUCGGCUCCA
This 77-nucleotide transfer RNA is filed under the name Burkholderia sp. M701. RNAcentral describes it as "tRNA-Thr". It matches the Rfam family "tRNA". From Rfam's summary of the family: Transfer RNA (tRNA) molecules are approximately 80 nucleotides in length. Their secondary structure includes four short double-helical elements and three loops (D, anti-codon, and T loops). RNAcentral also lists the same sequence under 1 other name. The record is from RNAcentral. Lineage: Bacteria; Pseudomonadati; Pseudomonadota; Betaproteobacteria; Burkholderiales; Burkholderiaceae.